GAUGAACGCUGGCGGCGUGCUUAACACAUGCAAGUCGAGCGAAAGCGCGGCGUUUGUGCGGGGCGCGCGUGGCGAACGGGGGAGUAAAACACGUGUGUAUGCCCCUCCUGUCUGGGUGAAAUUUCGAAAAAAGUGGGGAUAACACACGAGAGGAUCUUGUGCAACGGGGGGGGCGGUAGAAAUUGUCGGCUGUGGGUGGUCGUCGCGCGGCUUACCAGCUUGUUGGGGGAGUAGUGGCUUACCAGGGCUUAGGCGGGUAGCCGGCGUGAGAGGGUGACCGGCCACAUUGGGACUGAGAUACGGCCCAGACUCCUACGGGAGGCAGCAGUGGGGAAUAUUGCACAAUGGGCGGAAGCCUGAUGCAGCAACGCCGCGUGCGGGAUGACGGCCUUCGGGUUGUAAACCGCUUUCGCCUGUGACGAAGCGUGAGUGACGGUAAUGGGUAAAGAAGCACCGGCUAACUACGUG
Molecule: ribosomal RNA, 468 nt
Filed under: uncultured bacterium
Lineage: Bacteria
Description: partial 16S ribosomal RNA
Rfam family: Bacterial small subunit ribosomal RNA
Source: RNAcentral